Molecule: long non-coding RNA, 1528 nt
Filed under: Bemisia tabaci
Lineage: Eukaryota; Metazoa; Arthropoda; Insecta; Hemiptera; Aleyrodidae
Description: lncRNA ENSASIAIIG009308
Source: RNAcentral
GCGAUCUAGUGCAAUAUAAUUGAAUCUUUACCAUGAAAUUGCAAUAUUUUUAAAUCAUUCGGUCAAUAAAUGCCGAUUUGUCGACGAGAUGAAUUCUUUGUAUUUGAAAGAUGGCAAUACUAAGAAAAAAUUGCAACUAAUUUCAAUUUCAUCGCGAUCACUUUCAACUUCAACAGGAGGUGCCCCUUCAAUCAGGAGGUAGGCAACAUACCUAACACUCCGAUACUUCGACGACUCCUAUGCUGCAGGCUCCAAUUUUACCAUUUUCGUAAUUGCUUUUGAUUGCAGUUUUUGCCAAGUACUUGAGUAUCUUUCGGACAGUCAUUCAACCCACCGCCCAAACCAGAAGGGAGAGGGCUUAUUGUUCCGGUUACCUUCAACCUUCAACAUUUUUCUUGACUGUUUCUGAAGAGGAAACACAGUAAAAAAGGUAAUUAGAUAGGUACCUCCUUUUCACUUUUCACCUCAACCUCGGAGGAGAAGAAUUACUGCCUGCUUACAGAGGGUUUUUUGAAGUGCAUUGGGCGUAAAUAUCGUAAAGCAUUGACGGCGACAGUAUUAUUGCAUUCGCGAUAAAUUUAUCAGUAUUUCCUAGUAAUUUCCAUCAAGAUAGGGCAGACAUUGAGGGUCAUUGUCACUCAUCCUCAUUCUCCAUUUCGUUUCGAGGACUUUCGUGGACGAUUGUUACAUCGAAAUAUCGAGCUACAAUUCAUCCACACCAUCGCUUGGGCACCUGAAGUACCUUCAGAUACCGAGAUUUUCUUAGCUGGAAAAACUUGUUCUCCUCGUAUUCCAGUCUACUUAAUUGAACAAUGGUUGGCUGCUAGAUUUUUUUUCUGAUAUCCAUCAUUCUCUGUUAUUGCAAUGGAUUUUGAGGAUCGCUUUCCCAAAUUAAUGGAGGAGCUUCAAGGGCAGCCGUGGUCCAAUCUGAGGACAAAGUUGGACAAUCUUUUGGAAGAUUUUCCAGAUGAAGAGAAAUCUGACAGCAGAAGACUGAUAGAGACUAGAUGCGGGAAGCUGGAUAAAGCCGAUGUUGCUAUCUACGGUUGUUGUCCUGAGUUGGAAGAGUUAGUCGUUGUUCAAUGUAGAAUAUGCUCAAAAAUAGUCAAAGCUGAAGCAAUAGAAUAUCAUUAUGAAACAUGUCAUGAAGAGGCGCAUAAAUUAGUGGUUAAAGCAGUGGAAGAUAAGCGCACAUCCACGGCAGAAUUGAAGCAACUUCAAGAAACGCUCUCUACUUUUUCCGUUAAGCCUGCCACUACUGUAAAACCAGGGAAGCAGACUCCGUCGGGAAAAUCUACUAGCUUAAAAACUCCUGUUUCAAAAUCUAAAACGAAAUCGAAAAAAUUGGUUAUUGAUCCAGUUGUCCCUUCCUCCUCCAAAGCCUUGUUCCCUCCUUCGCCGCAGUCAAAACCGAGUACCUCUCAAAACAAGCUCCCAUACCUGUGGCGAACUCACCUCAAAGUCAAAAGGUAAUUUUCCUUUUUUUACUUUUCUGUACCCAUAAGCGAUUCUUUAAGUUUAUUAUGAA